GACGAACGCUGGCGGCGUGCUUAACACAUGCAAGUCGAACGAAGAGCGAUGGAAGCUUGCUUCUAUCAAUCUUAGUGGCGAACGGGUGAGUAACGCGUAAUCAACCUGCCCUUCAGAGGGGGACAACAGUUGGAAACGACUGCUAAUACCGCAUACGAUCUAACCUCGGCAUCGAGGAAAGAUGAAAGGUGGCCUCUAUUUAUAAGCUAUCACUGAAGGAGGGGAUUGCGUCUGAUUAGCUAGUUGGAGGGGUAACGGCCCACCAAGGCGAUGAUCAGUAGCCGGUCUGAGAGGAUGAACGGCCACAUUGGGACUGAGACACGGCCCAGACUCCUACGGGAGGCAGCAGUGGGGAAUCUUCCGCAAUGGACGAAAGUCUGACGGAGCAACGCCGCGUGAGUGAUGACGGCCUUCGGGUUGUAAAGCUCUGUUAAUCGGGACGAAAGGCCUUCUUGCGAACAGUUAGAAGGAUUGACGGACCGAAUAGAAGCCAC
Molecule: ribosomal RNA, 494 nt
Filed under: Veillonella parvula
Lineage: Bacteria; Bacillati; Bacillota; Negativicutes; Veillonellales; Veillonellaceae
Description: bacterial SSU rRNA
Rfam family: Bacterial small subunit ribosomal RNA
Source: RNAcentral